UACGAAGGGGGCUAGCGUUGCCCGGAAUCACUGGGCGUAAAGGGUGCGUAGGCGGGUCUUUAAGUCAGGGGUGAAAUCCUGGAGCUCAACUCCAGAACUGCCUUUGAUACUGAGGAUCUUGAGUUCGGGAGAGGUGAGUGGAACUGCGAGUGUAGAGGUGAAAUUCGUAGAUAUUCGCAAGAACACCAGUGGCGAAGGCGGCUCACUGGCCCGAUACUGACGCUGAGGCACGAAAGCGUGGGGAGCGAACAGG
Molecule: ribosomal RNA, 253 nt
Filed under: uncultured bacterium
Lineage: Bacteria
Description: partial 16S ribosomal RNA
Rfam family: Bacterial small subunit ribosomal RNA
Source: RNAcentral